CAAAGUCUUUGACUCAUUCUUUGGAAAAGCUGUUUUCAUCAAACACUCUGGAAACAGAAACGUUUCCAUUCGAACCAACCUCUUCUCAAAAGCAUGAAACGACUUGAGAUCUAAAUCUUGGAACAAUACCUUUUGACAGAUGCUUUUCCCUCUCCGAUGUUUUAUAUUCUAGAGUGGGAGUGGGCCCUGUGACAUGCAGCUGACUGCACCUCCGUGUGUUCUCGUUUCCCCGUGAUGGAGAGGUGGAGGAAGUCAGGGUGUUAAAACCUUGGCCACUGGUCACUCGUUGUCUGCUGGAGAUACACGGCGACAGACUCAUCGAUUGGCGUACGCUACAGUGGUAACGGACUUAAUGACCCGAGCAGGCAGAAUGAUCACUUUCCAUUGAUCCAGAUGCAUAGAACCUGUGUAGAUGGAAGUUAAAGGGCCUGGAAGAGUGAUACAGCGUAAGGAGAUCUGAUCUGGUUUGAUGAUCUACAGGGCCUGGAAGAGUGAUACAGCGUAAGGAGAUCUGAUCUGGUUUGAUGAUCUACAGGGCCUGGACGAGUGAUACAGCGUGAGGUGAUCUGAAAUAUACAAUCGAGACACUCCAUGUAAUGCAUUAAAAACAAGUAACAACACCUAAAAAUCUAUUCUAUAUUUGACUGGUAUCAUUAACCAUUUAAAAGAAACAAGUUAUUUAAUUUAUACUUUUUUGACUACUCUAUAUCGUUUGAUUCUAUAUAGCAAGAGGUUGGUAUCCAGGGUGUUUCAAUUCUUAUUUGAAAUAUAGAACCUUUUCUGUUAAAAUUGGAAAUAUAAUUUUUUCUUUGGCAGCGAUCACAUGCAGAGUACCUCAAGAUUUGUUCCUGGGGCCAAUUUUAUGUGCAAAUUGAAGGUGGCAUGUGCAACUGAAAUGCAGGGAUAACAGCAAUGAGGUUAUACAUGUAACAAUUGAAAAAUAAUGUAAACAACAUGUACACAAUUUCAAAGAAUGAUUUACAGUAGCCAACAUGAAAAUAUAGAAAAUUAUUUUAUCAGUUGUAUUGAUGAAAAACAAUAACAUGUAAUACAUUUGCUCAAUUGAUAAUUGGUGAUCGUUGGCAUUUCGUUUUGCGAAUAAUUAUUUUGCCUAAUACAUUUGUGGAAUCUUACUCUUCAGUAAAAUAUGCAGAGAAAAUUCAAACAGAGAUGAUAGGGUAUGUAUGCAAUU
Molecule: long non-coding RNA, 1192 nt
Organism: Esox lucius (northern pike)
Lineage: Eukaryota; Metazoa; Chordata; Actinopteri; Esociformes; Esocidae
Source: Ensembl